RNAcentral lists this ribosomal RNA (428 nucleotides) under uncultured bacterium. RNAcentral describes it as "bacterial SSU rRNA". It matches the Rfam family "Bacterial small subunit ribosomal RNA", at positions 355 to 787 of the family's 1533-position model. The record is from RNAcentral.
UGGGGAAUAUUGCACAAUGGGCGAAAGCCUGAUGCAGCGACGCCGCGUGAGGGAUGACGGCCUUCGGGUUGUAACCUCUUCAGUAGGAACAAGGCCAGCAUUUUGUUGGUUGAGGGUACUUGCAGAAGAAGCGCCGGCUAACUACGUGCCAGCAGCCGCGGUAAUACGUAGGGCGCAAGCGUUAUCCGGAAUUAUUGGGCGUAAAGAGCUCGUAGGCGGUUUGUCGCGUCUGCCGUGAAAGUCCGGGGCUCAACUCCGGAUCUGCGGUGGGUACGGGCAGACUAGAGUGAUGUAGGGGAGACUGGAAUUCCUGGUGUAGCGGUGAAAUGCGCAGAUAUCAGGAGGAACACCGAUGGCGAAGGCAGGUCCCUGGGCAUUAACUGACGCUGAGGAGCGAAAGCAUGGGGAGCGAACAGGAUUAGAUACCC